ACGGGGGCAGCAGCUAAGAAUAUUCCGCAAUGGACGAAGGUCUGACGGAGCGACGCCGCGUGGAUGAUGAAGGCCGGAAGGUUGUAAAAUCCUUUUAUAACUGAGGAAUAAGUAUUAUCAGAGAAAGGUAGUAUGGUGACUGUAGGUUAUGAAUAAGCAACGGCUAAUUACGUGCCAGCAGCCGCGGUAACACGUAAGUUGCGAGCGUUGUUCGGAAUUAUUGGGCGUAAAGGGCAUGUAGGCGGUUUUGCAAGCUUGGUGUGAAAUCCCGGAGCUCGACUCCGGAAUUGCGUUGAGAACUGCAUAACUAGAGUCACUGAGGGGCAAUCAGAAUUCCAGGUGUAGGGGUGAAAUCUGUAGAUAUCUGGAAGAAUACCAAUGGCGAAGGCAGGUUACCAGCAGAUGACUGACGCUGAGGUGCGAAGGUGCGGGGAGCAAACAGGAUUAGAUACCCUGGUA
RNAcentral lists this ribosomal RNA (459 nucleotides) under uncultured Treponema sp. RNAcentral's name for it is "partial 16S ribosomal RNA". It matches the Rfam family "Bacterial small subunit ribosomal RNA", at positions 341 to 792 of the family's 1533-position model. Lineage: Bacteria; Pseudomonadati; Spirochaetota; Spirochaetia; Treponematales; Treponemataceae. The record is from RNAcentral.